RNAcentral lists this ribosomal RNA (515 nucleotides) under uncultured bacterium. Its description in RNAcentral is "partial 16S ribosomal RNA". It matches the Rfam family "Bacterial small subunit ribosomal RNA", at positions 355 to 867 of the family's 1533-position model. The record is from RNAcentral.
UGGGGAAUUUUGGACAAUGGGCGCAAGCCUGAUCCAGCCAUGCCGCGUGCGGGAAGAAGGCCUUCGGUUGUAACCGCUUUUGUCAGGGAAGAAAUCUUCUGAGUUAAUACCUCGGGAGGAUGACGGUACCUGAAGAAUAAGCACCGGCUAACUACGUGCCAGCAGCCGCGGUAAUACGUAGGGUGCAAGCGUUAAUCGGAAUACUGGGCGUAAAGCGUGCGCAGGCGGUUUUGUAAGACAGAGGUGAAAUCCCCGGGCUCAACCUGGGAACUGCCUUUGUGACUGCAAGGCUUGAGUGCGGCAGAGGGGGAUGGAAUUCCGCGUGUAGCAGUGAAAUGCGUAGAUAUGCGGAGGAACACCGAUGGCGAAGGCAAUCCCCUGGGCCUGCACUGACGCUCAUGCNCGAAAGCGUGGGGAGCAAACAGGAUUAGAUCCCUGGUAGUCCACGCCCUAAACGAUGUCAACUGGUUGUUGGGAGGGUUCCUUCUCAGUAACGUAGCUAACGCGUGAAGUUG